UACGUAGGGACCAAGCGUUGUUCGGAUUUACUGGGCGUAAAGAGCGCGCAGGCGGUCAGAUAGGUCGAAUGUGAAAGCCCCCGGCUCAACUGGGGAGGGUCAUUCGAUACUGUUCGACUCGAAGGCAGGAGAGGGAAGUGGAAUUCCCGGUGUAGUGGUGAAAUGCGUAGAUAUCGGGAGGAACACCAGUGGCGAAGGCGACUUCCUGGCCUGUUCUUGACGCUGAGGCGCGAAAGCUAGGGGAGCAAACGGG
This 253-nucleotide ribosomal RNA is filed under the name uncultured bacterium. Its description in RNAcentral is "partial 16S ribosomal RNA". It matches the Rfam family "Bacterial small subunit ribosomal RNA", at positions 524 to 776 of the family's 1533-position model. The record is from RNAcentral.